CAGCCGCCGCGGUAAUACGUAGGGUGCAAGCGUUAAUCGGAAUUACUGGGCGUAAAGCGUGCGCAGGCGGUUAUAUAAGACAGUCGUGAAAUCCCCGGGCUCAACCUGGGAACUGCGAUUGUGACUGUAUGGCUAGAGUGUGUCAGAGGGGGGUAGAAUUCCACGUGUAGCAGUGAAAUGCGUAGAUAUGUGGAGGAAUACCGAUGGCGAAGGCAGCCCCCUGGGAUAACACUGACGCUUAUGCACGAAAGCGUGGGGAGCAAACAGGAUUAGAUACCCCAGUAGUCCCUGUCUCUUAUAC
This 301-nucleotide ribosomal RNA is filed under the name uncultured bacterium. RNAcentral describes it as "partial 16S ribosomal RNA". It matches the Rfam family "Bacterial small subunit ribosomal RNA", at positions 509 to 807 of the family's 1533-position model. The record is from RNAcentral.